UCUGCCUACUCCACAAAUAAUAGGCAGCGGUCCGCUGAAAUAAAGGAGGAUAAACCCGUCUGACUCACGGUAUGGCAGUGUGGAGACCUGUCAUAAAGCCCCCGGAAUGUUACUUUCCGGACGGUGAGAACGCACGCGAAAAUGGUAGGUGCGUUUAGAGUCGAAAACAGUAUGGCA
This 177-nucleotide non-coding RNA is filed under the name uncultured Faecousia sp. RNAcentral describes it as "malK-I RNA". It matches the Rfam family "malK-I RNA". Lineage: Bacteria; Bacillati; Bacillota; Clostridia; Eubacteriales; Oscillospiraceae. The record is from RNAcentral.